Long non-coding RNA from Anarrhichthys ocellatus (wolf-eel), 531 nucleotides. RefSeq lists it as uncharacterized. The record is from RefSeq and is a predicted model, not a curated record. NCBI's taxonomy places the organism in Eukaryota, Metazoa, Chordata, Actinopteri, Perciformes, Anarhichadidae. The transcript has 2 exons.
AGCUGCGUGUUCAGUAACAGCACAUUUUAAAUCUCAAUUGAAUGUAUAAUUAUCUAGAUACAUGGUUUUAAAAUAAUGUGCAUUACUUACGAGAACUGAGCACAAUGAAUGUCUAUAACCCUCUACUAUACUGUGUUCAUAAUUAAUUUAUUAUUUGGUGCUACAAACACAAAUGUUAUUGUGAUACGGUUACUGUUUUUUUGUGAUGCAAAGAAAAGAGUUCUGCUAAUUGUGUUUUUCUCUUGUCUGUUUUAUUUAGUACACUAUGUUGCUCAUGGGUGCAUUGGCAAGGCCCAAGAUCAGCAGGAACAGCAGGAACAGCAGGAACAGCUGGCCAAACGUUCAUUUGAUGCCGACCCUCAGGAUGGUAACCCUAGAUUCAACUAGACUGAGGGCCACUCCAAAGCCAUGUAUUGUUCAACUGCGGCAACCAUUUGAAAAUAUACAUGCUUUGACGUCAUCGAUAAGUAAAUUGUGAAUUCACUUUGAAGAAUGACAGUUCUGAAUAAAUUUGCAUUUAAAAAUUAAAAA